GUAGUCAUAUGCUUGUCUCAAAGAUUAAGCCAUGCAUGUCUAAGUACAGGCUUUGGUACAGCGAAACCGCGAAUGGCUCAUUAAAUCAGCUAUAAUUUAUUAGAUUGUUCUUUACUUGGAUAACUGUGGGAAUUCUAGAGCUAAUACAUGCACAAAAGCUCCGACCUUCGGGAAGGAGUGCAGUUAUUAGACCAAAACCAGCCGAGCUUCGGCUCGAACUGUUUGGUGACUCUGGAUAACGAUGAGCGGAUCGCAUGGCCUUGAGCCGGCGACGUAUCUUUCAAGUGUCUGACCUAUCAACUGACGAUGGUACGCGAUAUGCCUACCAUGGUGAUAACGGGUAACGGAGAAUAAGGGUUCGACUCCGGAGAGGGGGCCUGAGAAAUGGCUACCACAUCCAAGGAUGGCAGCAGGCGCGCAAAUUACCCACUCUCAGUACGAGGAGGUAGUGACGAAAAAUAACAAUGCGGGACUCAUCAGAGGCCUCGCAAUUGGAAUGAGCGCACUUUAAAUCGUUCAACGAGGAUCUAUUGGAGGGCAAGUCUGGUGCCAGCAGCCGCGGUAAUUCCAGCUCCAAUAGCGUAUAUUAAAGUUGUUGCAGUUAAAAAGCUCGUAGUUGGAUCUGGGGUUCGGGUCGGCGGUUUGCCGCUUCGGCGGCUACUGCCGUGCUCGACUCUUACUAGCCGGUGCGUCUUGCGGUGCUCUUCAUCGAGUGCCGUAGGAGCCUGGCAUGUUUACUUUGAAAAAAUUAGAGUGCUCAAAGCAGGCGAUUCCGCCUGAACAGUGUUGCAUGGAAUAAUGGAAUAGGACCUCGGUUCUAUUUUGUUGGUUCUCGGAACUUGAGGUAAUGAUUAAGAGGGACGGUCGGGGGCAUUCGUAUUUCGGUGUUAGAGGUGAAAUUCUUGGAUCGCUGAAAGACGGACAAAUGCGAAAGCAUCUGCCAAGAGCGUCUCCAUUAAUCAAGAACGAAAGUCAGAGGUUCGAAGACGAUCAGACACCGUCCUAGUUCUGACCAUAAACGAUGCCAACUAGCGAUCCGCAGUGGUUGCUAUAAACGGACUCUGCGAGCAGCUUCCGGGAAACCAAAGUGUUUGGGUUCCGGGGGAAGUAUGGUUGCAAAGCUGAAACUUAAAGGAAUUGACGGAAGGGCACCACCAGGAGUGGAGCCUGCGGCUUAAUUUGACCCAACACGGGGAAACUCACCCGGUCCGGACACUGUAAGGAUUGACAGAUCGAGAGCUCUUUCUUGAUUCGGUGGAUGGUGGUGCAUGGCCGUUCUUAGUUGGUGGAGUGAUUUGUCUGGUUAAUUCCGAUAACGAACGAGACUCUAGCCUGCUAACUAGUUGCGCCGUGUUCAUACGCGGCUGUAGACUUCUUAGAGGGACAGGUGGCGUUUAGUG
Molecule: ribosomal RNA, 1400 nt
Filed under: metagenome
Description: SSU rRNA
Rfam family: Eukaryotic small subunit ribosomal RNA
Source: RNAcentral